This 270-nucleotide ribosomal RNA is filed under the name uncultured archaeon. RNAcentral's name for it is "partial 16S ribosomal RNA". It matches the Rfam family "Archaeal small subunit ribosomal RNA", at positions 477 to 747 of the family's 1478-position model. The record is from RNAcentral.
CAGCCCCUCGAGUGGUGGGGAUGAUUAUUUGGCCUAAAGCGUCCGUAGCCUGCCGUAUAAGUCUCCCGUUAAAUCCAGCGUCUCAAGCGUUGGACUGCGGGAGAUACUGUACGGCUAGAGAGUGGGAGAGGUCAGCGGUAUUCUGGGGGUAGGGGCGAAAUCCUUUGAUCCCCGGAGGACCACCAGUGGCGAAGGCUGCUGACUAGAACACGUCUGACGGUCAGGGACGAAAGCUGGGGUAGCGAACCGGAUUAGAUACCCGAGUAGUCC